This 253-nucleotide ribosomal RNA is filed under the name uncultured bacterium. RNAcentral's name for it is "partial 16S ribosomal RNA". It matches the Rfam family "Bacterial small subunit ribosomal RNA", at positions 524 to 776 of the family's 1533-position model. The record is from RNAcentral.
AACGUAGGAGACAACCGUUAUCCGGAGUUACUGGGCGUAAAGGGCGUGUAGGUGGUAGUGUAAGUCUGGCGUGAAAUUUUUCGGCUUAACCGGGAAAGGUCGUCGGAUACUGCACAACUAGAGGACGGUAGAGGCGUGUGGAAUUCCGGGUGUAGUGGUGAAAUGCGUAGAGAUCCGGAGGAACACCAAUGGCGAAGGCGACACGCUGGGCCGUACCUGACACUGAUGCGCGACAGCAUGGGGAGCAAACAGG